UUCAUUAUAUCCAAAAUCACGAUACAUCUGAAGGAGAAACGUGCAAGAAUAGCCCUAAGUUAGUCAAUUCAAAUUCUGGUUUUCAUGAAUCUCCUCACCGACAAACCACCCAUAUAAAAUUUAGACAAACCUCUUUACCCUUAAAAAAAAAAUGGUUGAGGUUGCAAGCAUUUCAAAUCAUUUAGCUUGAAUUCGAAAAUCAGAGAAUUCCUAAGGUUUUUCUUGCUUCCACGACUUCAAAAAUCAGCAAACUCUCAAAGAUUACCUCGAUAUCGACCGUCGGGAACUCAACAUUGGAGUCCUCAUCCUGCAAGUCGGCUGCGCGAACUCAACACCAGAGUCCUCUUCUCGGUAGAAAUUUUGGUUUGUAAGGUUCACUUACUUAAUUAGAAUGGGAAAAAGGAUUCCAUAAUGUGUCAUUAUUGUAGAGUUAAUAGAGACACAUCUUGAUAAAUGCCGAAGUAAGCAUCGGUGCCAUACUGUAAGAGUGGAUUCCAAAAGUGUUUUGAGGUGAAAAGGGGGAUCGAUAAUAAAGGAAAUCUAUUCAAAUGCUGCAGUUAAAAAUGCAAUUUUUGGGAAUGGGUUCGAGAAGGUGAAUCAAGCGAAUCAAGUGUCGUCAAUAGCUCGGUGAAUCCUUCAUCGAAGGAAGCAAUGUCAGAUUUGUCCCUUAGGUUUCAAUAUCAAAUUGAGCUACAUGACAAAGAAGAUGUCUAGAUUUCGAUGAACAUGAACUUAACGAUCCACAAUGGCAAAAAAACCGUGGAAAAGAAUGCAAAAUGAAAGUGGCUGGCUUGAUUAGUAGCCCUCAAUAUUUAAUAAAUGUUUACGUUAUGUAUGUUUGUAUUUGUGUGACUAUUUCUAGAGAACUUUGUGCCUACUUCCAGAAAAUGGACCCAAAAGAUGCUUUCUGA
Molecule: long non-coding RNA, 911 nt
Organism: Olea europaea var. sylvestris
Lineage: Eukaryota; Viridiplantae; Streptophyta; Magnoliopsida; Lamiales; Oleaceae
Exons: 2
Source: RefSeq, a predicted model, not a curated record